This 824-nucleotide ribosomal RNA is filed under the name uncultured bacterium. Its description in RNAcentral is "bacterial SSU rRNA". It matches the Rfam family "Bacterial small subunit ribosomal RNA", at positions 8 to 832 of the family's 1533-position model. The record is from RNAcentral.
AGAGUUUGAUCCUGGAUCAGAGCGACGCUGCGCGUGCUUACACAUGCAAGUCGAACGCGCAGUCUCUGUAGCAAUACAGGAGGCCCGUCGCGUGACGAACGGGUGCGUAACACGUGGAUAACCUUCCUUCAGGUGGCGAAUAACCCAGUGAAAAUUGGGCUAAUACCGCAUAACAUGACGAUGGCACAUGCCGUUGUCUUCAAAGCCGCAAGGCGCCAGAUGAGGGAUCCGCGGCCGAUUAGCUUGUUGGCGAGGUAAUGGCUCACCAAGGCAAUGAUCGGUAGCCGGACUGAGAGGUUGGCCGGCCACACUGGAACUGAGACACGGUCCAGACUCCUACGGGAGGCAGCAGUGGGGAAUCUUGCGCAAUGGACGAAAGUCUGACGCAGCAACGCCGCGUGGGGGAUGAAGCUUCUCGGAGUGUAAACCCCUUUCGACCCGGACGAAUGCCCGCAAGGGUUUGACGGUACGGGUAUAAGAAGCCCCGGCUAACUACGUGCCAGCAGCCGCGGUAAAACGUAGGGGGCCAGCGUUGCUCGGGAUUACUGGGCGUAAAGGGUCCGUAGGCGGUGUGGCAAGUCGGAAGUGAAAUCUCUGGGCUUAACCCAGAGGCUGCUCCCGAAACUGCCAUGCUAGAGUGUGAGAGAGGCGAGUGGAAUUGCGGGUGUAGCGGUGAAAUGCGUAGAUAUCCGCACGAACAUCCGAGGGGAAAGCGGCUCGCUGGAUCACAACUGACGCUGAGGGACGAAAGCUAGGGGAGCAAACAGGAUUAGAUACCCUGGUAGUCCUAGCCCUAAACCAUCAGGACUUGGGGUUUGCCCUGU